CCUACGGGUGGCAGCAGUGGGGAAUAUUGGACAAUGGGCGAGAGCCUGAACCAGCCAAGUCGCGUGAAGGAUGACGGCCCUACGGGUUGUAAACUUCUUUUGUCAGGGAGCAAUUGAGUCCACGUGUGGGCUUAGCGAGAGUACCUGAAGAAAAAGCAUCGGCUAACUCCGUGCCAGCAGCCGCGGUAAUACGGAGGAUGCGAGCGUUAUCCGGAUUUAUUGGGUUUAAAGGGUGCGUAGGCGGAAUAUCAAGUCUGCGGUAAAAAUUCGGGGCUCAACACCGGCCUGCCGUUGAAACUGGUCUUCUUGAGUGAGCGAGAAGUAUGCGGAAUGCGUGGUGUAGCGGUGAAAGGCAUAGAUAUCACGCAGAACUCCGAUUGCGAAGGCAGCAUACCGGCGCUCAACUGACGCUGAGGCACGAAAGCGUGGGGAUCGAACAGGAUUAGAUACCCUUGUAGUC
This 460-nucleotide ribosomal RNA is filed under the name uncultured bacterium. RNAcentral's name for it is "partial 16S ribosomal RNA". It matches the Rfam family "Bacterial small subunit ribosomal RNA", at positions 338 to 795 of the family's 1533-position model. The record is from RNAcentral.